This 1470-nucleotide ribosomal RNA is filed under the name metagenome. Its description in RNAcentral is "bacterial SSU rRNA". It matches the Rfam family "Bacterial small subunit ribosomal RNA". The record is from RNAcentral.
AGAGUUUGAUCAUGGCUCAGGACGAACGCUGGCGGCACGCUUAACACAUGCAAGUCGAACGAGAGAAGAGGAGCUUGCUUUUCUGAUCUAGUGGCGGACGGGUGAGUAACACGUGAGCAAUCUGCCUUUCAGAGGGGGAUACCGAUUGGAAACGAUCGUUAAUACCGCAUAACAUAAUUGAACCGCAUGAUUUGAUUAUCAAAGAUUUAUCGCUGAAAGAUGAGCUCGCGUCUGAUUAGCUAGUUGGUAAGGUAGCGGCUUACCAAGGCGACGAUCAGUAGCCGGACUGAGAGGUUGAUCGGCCACAUUGGGACUGAGACACGGCCCAGACUCCUACGGGAGGCAGCAGUGGGGAAUAUUGCACAAUGGAGGAAACUCUGAUGCAGCGAUGCCGCGUGAGGGAAGAAGGUUUUAGGAUUGUAAACCUCUGUCUUCAGGGACGAAAAAAGACGGUACCUGAGGAGGAAGCUCCGGCUAACUACGUGCCAGCAGCCGCGGUAAUACGUAGGGAGCGAGCGUUGUCCGGAAUUACUGGGUGUAAAGGGAGCGUAGGCGGGAUCGCAAGUCAGAUGUGAAAACUAUGGGCUUAACCCAUAAACUGCAUUUGAAACUGUGGUUCUUGAGUGAAGUAGAGGUAAGCGGAAUUCCUAGUGUAGCGGUGAAAUGCGUAGGUAUUAGGAGGAACAUCAGUGGCGAAGGCGGCUUACUGGGCUUUAACUGACGCUGAGGCUCGAAAGCGUGGGGAGCAAACAGGAUUAGAUACCCUGGUAGUCCACGCCGUAAACGAUGAUUACUAGGUGUGGGGGGACUGACCCCUUCCGUGCCGCAGCAAACGCAAUAAGUAAUCCACCUGGGGAGUACGACCGCAAGGUUGAAACUCAAAGGAAUUGACGGGGGCCCGCACAAGCAGUGGAGUAUGUGGAUUAAUUCGAAGCAACGCGAAGAACCUUACCAGGUCUUGACAUCGUAUGCAUAGCUCAGAGAUGAGUGAAAUCUCUUCGGAGACAUAUAGACAGGUGGUGCAUGGUUGUCGUCAGCUCGUGUCGUGAGAUGUUGGGUUAAGUCCCGCAACGAGCGCAACCCUUACUGUUAGUUGCUACGCAAGAGCACUCUAGCAGGACUGCCGUUGACAAAACGGAGGAAGGUGGGGAUGACGUCAAAUCAUCAUGCCCAUUAUGACCUGGGCCUCACACGUACUACAAUGGCUGUCAACAGAGGGAAGCAAAGCCGCGAGGUGGAGCGAACCCCUAAAAGCAGUCUUAGUUCGGAUUGUAGGCUGCAACCCGCCUACAUGAAGUCGGAAUUGCUAGUAAUCGCAGAUCAGCAUGCUGCGGUGAAUACGUUCCCGGGCCUUGUACACACCGCCCGUCACGCCAUGGGAGUCGGUAACACCCGAAGCCUGUAGUCUAACCGCAAGGAGGACGCAGUCGAAGGUGGGAUUGAUGACUGGGGUGAAGUCGUAACAAGGUA